Molecule: ribosomal RNA, 253 nt
Filed under: uncultured bacterium
Lineage: Bacteria
Description: partial 16S ribosomal RNA
Rfam family: Bacterial small subunit ribosomal RNA
Source: RNAcentral
UACGAGGGGUGCAAGCGUUGCUCGGAAUUAUUGGGCGUAAAGGGUAGGUAGGUGGUCUCAUUUGUCUGGGGUGAAAGCCUCGAGCUUAACUCGAGAAGUGCCUCGGAAACGGUGAGACUAGAGUCUUGGAGAGGGUCGUGGAAUUCCCGGUGUAGCGGUGAAAUGCGUAGAGAUCGGGAGGAACACCAGCGGCGAAGGCGGCGACCUGGACAAGUACUGACACUCAACUGCGAAGGCGUGGGGAGCAAACAGG